UGGUUAUCUUUCUUCUCUUCCUUAAAUUACAAUUGUUUAAAAUGCAUGGUCUCUUUUUUUCCCCCCUUUUUUUGUCCCUCUGGGUUCACAUGCUGCUUUAUAACAUUACACUUUGUUGAAGUAAAUGAAAUUAUUUGAUCUGAGUUUGCCUUUACUAUAAUUCAAAAGCAAAGAUAUAGGGCCUGCAUGAAAGAAAUACAUUGUCUUUCGUUCCAUUAUUAUUUUCCUUGAUCUGAAUCAGUUCACAAUAAAAAAAGAAAAACAUGCUGUUUUGUAUGUAUCCAGGAUAUCGAGAUGAUAAAAAAGAAGCUUGAAGAACUAGAGGGCAAGUUUAAUCCUAAGCCAAUUGUUGUUGUAACAGAAAAGGU
This 368-nucleotide long non-coding RNA is filed under the name Citrus x clementina. RNAcentral's name for it is "Citrus clementina (C. clementina) long non-coding RNA (CCLE_LNC006792)". The record is from RNAcentral. Lineage: Eukaryota; Viridiplantae; Streptophyta; Magnoliopsida; Sapindales; Rutaceae.